RNAcentral lists this ribosomal RNA (203 nucleotides) under uncultured bacterium. Its description in RNAcentral is "partial 16S ribosomal RNA". It matches the Rfam family "Bacterial small subunit ribosomal RNA", at positions 1284 to 1500 of the family's 1533-position model. The record is from RNAcentral.
GUCCCAAGUUCGGAUUGUAGGCUGCAACUCGCCUACAUGAAGUUGGAAUUGCUAGUAAUCAUAGGUCAGCAUACUAUGGUGAAUACGUUCCCGGGCCUUGUACACACCGCCCGUCACACCAUGAGAGUUGGGAAUACCCGAAGCCCAUGUCAAAGUGGUCGAAAGUAGGCUUGAUGAUUGGGGUGAAGUCGUAACAAGGUACC